AUCCUCUACUGUUCACCUCCCCUUAGGCCACUGACAAAACACUCUUCAAACUGUACCUGAAACACCGCAGGAAGCACUGCGCUAAGUUACAAGUUCACCGAACCGUGGGUCAUGAUAGUGUUUUACAGUCCCAAACUCUGCUCUGCUUGAAGGCUUAAUCUCAUUAAGCAGCACGGCAAUGAGAAGAGACUACUAUUCCUACCUUUGGAAAGCUCUGAAAGUAAUUAAGCUCAUGUAUGUGGGGAAUCACUUAGGUGUGAACUAUGAAAAGAAAAGUUGAACAAAGUCACAAAGACAUCAAAAGCUCCAAACUAAAAUGCGGGCCACGAAAGUGCAUCUUUUUGUGUUGUUCUAAAUUAGGUUAAAUAGUUAUUCUGAAAGAAGGGACUAGCUCUUCUCAUCAUCAAGGCAGAAGACAUGCCACUUGACUUUCGAGUCUCACCAACACAGAAUCAGGAUUGAAUAUACAAUUCAAUUCCAUAAAACAGUAGCCUUCAGAAUUAUUAAAGCAUUUUUUAUCAUGACA
Molecule: long non-coding RNA, 526 nt
Organism: Erinaceus europaeus (western European hedgehog)
Lineage: Eukaryota; Metazoa; Chordata; Mammalia; Eulipotyphla; Erinaceidae
Exons: 2
Source: RefSeq, a predicted model, not a curated record